ACUCUGACCACGACCAAGUAGGC
RNAcentral lists this non-coding RNA (23 nucleotides) under Cricetulus griseus (Chinese hamster). The record is from RNAcentral. Lineage: Eukaryota; Metazoa; Chordata; Mammalia; Rodentia; Cricetidae.